GAUGAACGCUGGCGGCGUGCCUAAUACAUGCAAGUCGAGCGAACGGACGAGAAGCUUGCUUCUCUGAUGUUAGCGGCGGACGGGUGAGUAACACGUGGAUAACCUACCUAUAAGACUGGGAUAACUUCGGGAAACCGUAGCUAAAACCGGAUAAAUUUUUGAACGCCAUGGUUCAAAAGUGAAAGACGGUCUUGCUUUCACUGAUAGAUGGAUCCGGGCUGCAUUAGCUAGUUGGUAAGGUAACGGCUUACCAAGGCAACGAUGCAUAGCCGACCUGAGAGGGUGAUCGGCCACACUGGAACUGAGACACGGUCCAGACUCCUACGGGAGGCAGCAGUAGGGAAUCUUCCGCAAAGGGCGAAAGCCUGACGGAGCAACUCCGCGUGAGUGAUGAAGGUCUUCGGAUCGUAAAACUCUGUUAUUAGGGAAGAACAUAUGUGUAAGUAACUGUGCACAUCUUGACGGUACCUAAUCAGAAAGCCACGGCUAACUACGUG
Molecule: ribosomal RNA, 497 nt
Filed under: uncultured bacterium
Lineage: Bacteria
Description: partial 16S ribosomal RNA
Rfam family: Bacterial small subunit ribosomal RNA
Source: RNAcentral